CACAUAAACUUUAUAGUUCACAUAUUGCUAUAUCUAGAUAACUUGUCCUUUUCAUAAAAAUGAACUGGUGACUGGUUUCCCAUGUGAGCUUAUCUUAGGGCUCAGGAUGAUGCAGCUGGAAUGUCUUGAGAGAUCAUAAUGGCAAGCUUGCUCCGCAUUUUCUUUCCAAGGGAAAAAAAAACUAGCCUUUUUCUUAUUAUUGCUUGUUCUCUC
Molecule: long non-coding RNA, 213 nt
Filed under: Phoenix dactylifera (date palm)
Lineage: Eukaryota; Viridiplantae; Streptophyta; Magnoliopsida; Arecales; Arecaceae
Description: long non-coding RNA (PDAC_LNC005699)
Source: RNAcentral